Molecule: long non-coding RNA, 297 nt
Organism: Bombina bombina (fire-bellied toad)
Lineage: Eukaryota; Metazoa; Chordata; Amphibia; Anura; Bombinatoridae
Exons: 2
Source: RefSeq, a predicted model, not a curated record
AAAAAAAAAGACUAAGAAAAAAAGGGAGUUCAGAUGCAAAAAAAAAAAAAAGGAAACAAUCCAUGUUUGAAUGACAAAGGGGACUAAGAAAUUCUGUGGUCACAUGAAACAAAGACAGACUGAACAUAUGGAGGGUUGACAACUUUCUCUUACUGCAGGCUUUGAAAAUCGCUAGAGACUGAAUGAACAAACUGCUCUCCUGCCAAAUAUCUUACAAAUGCACACGUACAUCCCACUUAUAAACCAAAUGAUAUAAGAAUAAGAAUGAAUCUUAUUAAACAUGUGACUGCUACAGAA